RNAcentral lists this ribosomal RNA (468 nucleotides) under uncultured bacterium. RNAcentral's name for it is "partial 16S ribosomal RNA". It matches the Rfam family "Bacterial small subunit ribosomal RNA", at positions 28 to 507 of the family's 1533-position model. The record is from RNAcentral.
GACGAACGCUGGCGGCGUGCUUAACACAUGCAAGUCGAACGGAAAGGCCCUGCUUUUGUGGGGUGCUCGAGUGGCGAACGGGUGAGUAACACGUGAGUAACCUGCCCUUGACUUUGGGAUAACUUCAGGAAACUGGGGCUAAUACCGGAUAGGAGCUCCUGCUGCAUGGUGGGGGUUCGAAAGUUUCGGCGGUUAGGGAUGGACUCGCGGCUUAUCAGCUUGUUGGUGGGGUAGUGGCUUACCAAGGCUUUGACGGGUAGCCGGCCUGAGAGGGUGACCGGCCACAUUGGGACUGAGAUACGGCCCAGACUCCUACGGGAGGCAGCAGUGGGGAAUAUUGCACAAUGGGCGGAAGCCUGAUGCAGCAACGCCGCGUGCGGGAUGACGGCCUUCGGGUUGUAAACCGCUUUCGCCUGUGACGAAGCGUGAGUGACGGUAAUGGGUAAAGAAGCACCGGCUAACUACGUG